This 862-nucleotide ribosomal RNA is filed under the name uncultured bacterium. RNAcentral describes it as "bacterial SSU rRNA". It matches the Rfam family "Bacterial small subunit ribosomal RNA", at positions 84 to 941 of the family's 1533-position model. The record is from RNAcentral.
ACCUUAUCUUAGCGGCGGACGGGUGAGUAAUGCUUAGGAAUCUGCCUAUUAGUGGGGGACAACAUUCCGAAAGGAAUGCUAAUACCGCAUACGUCCUACGGGAGAAAGCAGGCGAUCUUCGGACCUUGCGCUAAUAGAUGAGCCUAAGUCGGAUUAGCUAGUUGGUGGGGUAAAGGCCUACCAAGGCGACGAUCUGUAGCGGGUCUGAGAGGAUGAUCCGCCACACUGGGACUGAGACACGGCCCAGACUCCUACGGGAGGCAGCAGUGGGGAAUAUUGGACAAUGGGGGAAACCCUGAUCCAGCCAUGCCGCGUGUGUGAAGAAGGCCUUAUGGUUGUAAAGCACUUUAAGCGAGGAGGAGGCUACUGGGACUAAUACUCUUGGAUAGUGGACGUUACUCGCAGAAUAAGCACCGGCUAACUCUGUGCCAGCAGCCGCGGUAAUACAGAGGGUGCGAGCGUUAAUCGGAUUUACUGGGCGUAAAGCGUGCGUAGGCGGCUUUUUAAGUCGGAUGUGAAAUCCCCGAGCUUAACUUGGGAAUUGCAUUCGAUACUGGGAAGCUAGAGUAUGGGAGAGGAUGGUAGAAUUCCAGGUGUAGCGGUGAAAUGCGUAGAGAUCUGGAGGAAUACCGAUGGCGAAGGCAGCCAUCUGGCCUAAUACUGACGCUGAGGUACGAAAGCAUGGGGAGCAAACAGGAUUAGAUACCCUGGUAGUCCAUGCCGUAAACGAUGUCUACUAGCCGUUGGGGCCUUUGAGGCUUUAGUGGCGCAGCUAACGCGAUAAGUAGACCGCCUGGGGAGUACGGUCGCAAGACUAAAAACUCAAUGAAUUGACGGGGGCCCGCACAAGCGGUGGAGCAUG